This 253-nucleotide ribosomal RNA is filed under the name uncultured bacterium. RNAcentral describes it as "partial 16S ribosomal RNA". It matches the Rfam family "Bacterial small subunit ribosomal RNA", at positions 524 to 776 of the family's 1533-position model. The record is from RNAcentral.
UACGAAGGGGGCUAGCGUUGCUCGGAAUCACUGGGCGUAAAGCGCACGUAGGCGGAUCGCUAAGUCAGGGGUGAAAUCCUGGAGCUCAACUCCAGAACUGCCUUUGAUACUGGCGAUCUCGAGUUCGGGAGAGGUGAGUGGAACUGCGAGUGUAGAGGUGAAAUUCGUAGAUAUUCGCAAGAACACCAGUGGCGAAGGCGGCUCACUGGCCCGAUACUGACGCUGAGGUGCGAAAGCGUGGGGAGCAAACAGG